UACAGAGGGUGCGAGCGUUGUUCGGAAUUACUGGGCGUAAAGCGCGCGCAGGCGGCCCUUUAAGUCCGCUGGUGAAAGACCGGGGCUCAACCCCGUUGUCAGCCAGGGAUACUGGAGGGCUGGAGACAGGUAGAGGCAAGCGGAAUUCCGGGUGUAGCGGUGGAAUGCGUAGAUAUCCGGAAAGAACACCGGUGGCGAAGGCGGCCAACUGGACCAUUACUGACGCUGAGGCGCGAAAGCGUGGGGAGCAAACAGG
Molecule: ribosomal RNA, 256 nt
Filed under: uncultured bacterium
Lineage: Bacteria
Description: partial 16S ribosomal RNA
Rfam family: Bacterial small subunit ribosomal RNA
Source: RNAcentral